Molecule: ribosomal RNA, 290 nt
Filed under: Candida albicans
Lineage: Eukaryota; Fungi; Ascomycota; Pichiomycetes; Serinales; Debaryomycetaceae
Also listed under: 1 other name
Description: partial 28S ribosomal RNA
Rfam family: Eukaryotic large subunit ribosomal RNA
Source: RNAcentral
UUUGACCUCAAAUCAGGUAGGACUACCCGCUGAACUUAAGCAUAUCAAUAAGCGGAGGAAAAGAAACCAACAGGGAUUGCCUCAGUAGCGGCGAGUGAAGCGGCAAAAGCUCAAAUUUGAAAUCUGGCGUCUUUGGCGUCCGAGUUGUAAUUUGAAGAAGGUAUCUUUGGGCCCGGCUCUUGUCUAUGUUCCUUGGAACAGGACGUCACAGAGGGUGAGAAUCCCGUGCGAUGAGAUGACCCGGGUCUGUGUAAAGUUCCUUCGACGAGUCGAGUUGUUUGGGGAAUGCA